GCACCACCAGGGUGGAUCUUUUGUAGCAAGAGUCCUUGUCCCCAUGUCAUAUUUCCGACUGAUUUUAGUCGACUCGUUCAGCGACUCGUAUGGCAAUCGAUUGUUUGCGUUUGGUCCCAACCUGUCCUAGCAGCACUCGAAGAUUGACUACCCAACUCUUAUCUAAGAAGAAAUAGAAAGCGGGGUCGGACCCUACUACUCUUUUCCUGACUUUACUUUGUACCAUCUCGUACCCUCCGGAGCCGGGCUGUUCUGAUGCAAUGUUUUCUAAAAGUGCUGAGUGAAUAUAUCAAUAGAGAUUUCCACAAACCAAAAAUCCACAACAUCCAAAUCGGCAGCUUCAGAAACACCUUGUCCUCUAUUGUCGUCACGCCGUUCUUCUGAUCUACGGAAAGCAGCAAGCAUUCUACAAAACAAAGGCGUGAUCGGUCUGCCCACGGACACUGUGUAUGCCAUCGGAGCGUCGUGCAGACACCCGGAGUCAAUCAGGAGGCUGUAUGCAAUCAAAGAACGACCGAAAGACAAACCAAUAUGUCUAUGUCUUUCAAGCCUUAAACAACUGAAGGCAGUCCGGCCGAAUUUCAGCCCACUACUUCUCAGUUUCAUGGAGCGCUGUUACCCUGGUGGGGUCAGCUGCGUGGUCCCUAAAGGGGACUGGUUAUAUGACCUUGGCGUUGGCGACAGCUAUGAUAUAAUUGGUACUGAAAACACCAUAUGCCUCCGAAUUCCAGACAGCUCAAUAUUGGCAUAUCUGGUGUCAGUUUCCGGUCCCUUGGCCAUAACUUCCGGUAAUCCCAGUGGGUGGGUUGAUAGCACCCACCACGAUAUGCUUGUAAAGAGUUUGGGACAUAAACUGGAUGCCGUGGUUUGUGAUGGAUUAUCUAACGAAUUUUGCGCAUCUACAGU
Molecule: long non-coding RNA, 906 nt
Organism: Gigantopelta aegis
Lineage: Eukaryota; Metazoa; Mollusca; Gastropoda; Neomphalida; Peltospiridae
Exons: 3
Source: RefSeq, a predicted model, not a curated record